CCGCUUACCAUCCACAUGAUGAACAAUUAUCU
Molecule: non-coding RNA, 32 nt
Filed under: Syntrophotalea carbinolica DSM 2380
Lineage: Bacteria; Pseudomonadati; Thermodesulfobacteriota; Desulfuromonadia; Desulfuromonadales; Syntrophotaleaceae
Source: RNAcentral